Molecule: transfer RNA, 56 nt
Filed under: Erythrobacter sp.
Lineage: Bacteria; Pseudomonadati; Pseudomonadota; Alphaproteobacteria; Sphingomonadales; Erythrobacteraceae
Description: tRNA-Asn
Rfam family: tRNA
About the family: Transfer RNA (tRNA) molecules are approximately 80 nucleotides in length.
Source: RNAcentral
AGCUCAGCGGUAGAGCAUUCGACUGUUAAUCGAACGGCCGUAGGUUCGAAUCCUAC